UGGGGAAUAUUGGGCAAUGGGCGAAAGCCUGACCCAGCGACGCCGCGUGAGGGAAGAAGGUCUUCGGAUUGUAAACCUUUGUCAACAGGGACGAAACAAAUGACGGUACCUGUGAAGGAAGCCACGGCUAACUACGUGCCAGCAGCCGCGGUAAUACGUAGGUGGCGAGCGUUAUCCGGAUUUACUGGGUGUAAAGGGUGAGUAGGCGGGAAUAUAAGUCAGAUGUGAAAUCCAAAGGCUUAACCUUUGAAUUGCAUUUGAAACUAUAUUUCUUGAGAGUCGGAGAGGUAAUCGGAAUUCCUAGUGUAGCGGUGAAAUGCGUAGAUAUUAGGAGGAACACCAGUGGCGAAGGCGGAUUACUGGACGACAACUGACGCUGAGACACGAAAGCGUGGGGAGCAAACAGG
Molecule: ribosomal RNA, 407 nt
Filed under: uncultured bacterium
Lineage: Bacteria
Description: bacterial SSU rRNA
Rfam family: Bacterial small subunit ribosomal RNA
Source: RNAcentral